Molecule: microRNA precursor, 175 nt
Filed under: Pelobates cultripes (western spadefoot toad)
Lineage: Eukaryota; Metazoa; Chordata; Amphibia; Anura; Pelobatidae
Source: RNAcentral
GUCAACAGACACAUUCCAGCCAAUCAGCAGCAGACCCUCCCUUCCAGAUCCUCCCACCUCCUGGACAGCAUCCAUUUUACAUUCAUUGUGAAGCUGCAUUCUUAGUGAGCUGUCCAGGAGGUGGGAGGGUCUGGGAGGGAGGGUCUGCUGCUGAUUGGCUGGAAUGUGUCUGGUG